RNAcentral lists this ribosomal RNA (399 nucleotides) under uncultured bacterium. RNAcentral describes it as "bacterial SSU rRNA". It matches the Rfam family "Bacterial small subunit ribosomal RNA", at positions 992 to 1393 of the family's 1533-position model. The record is from RNAcentral.
GGACAGCCGCAGAGAUGCGGUUUCCUUAUGGUCCCAUCACAGGUGGUGCAUGGCUGUCGUCAGCUCGUGUCGUGAGAUGUUGGGUUAAGUCCCGCAACGAGCGCAACCCUUGUCCUAUGUUGCCAGCGCGUAAUGGCGGGGACUCGUGGGAGACUGCCGGCGACAAGUCGGAGGAAGGUGGGGACGACGUCAAGUCAUCAUGCCCCUUAUGCCCAGGGCUGCAAACAUGCUACAAUGGCCGGUACAAAGGGCUGCGAAACCGUGAGGUCAAGCGAAUCCCAUAAAGCCGGUCUCAGUUCGGAUUGGAGUCUGCAACUCGACUCCAUGAAGCCGGAGUCGCUAGUAAUCCCGGAUCAGCAACGCCGGGGUGAAUACGUUCCCGGGCCUUGCACACACCGA